Molecule: long non-coding RNA, 150 nt
Organism: Bombina bombina (fire-bellied toad)
Lineage: Eukaryota; Metazoa; Chordata; Amphibia; Anura; Bombinatoridae
Exons: 3
Source: RefSeq, a predicted model, not a curated record
CAAAAAGAUAACAUCGAUGUCUGUGCUUUGCCUUCAAGUAUACACAAAACUUCGCUAACAUUGUUUGAUGAUAAUCCAUAAGAGAAUUGUGAGAUUCACCUGGAAACACUGGUUGAAAAUACAAUUACAGAGGAAGAUGUUGGCAAUGAU